AGCCUCCCGAAAGGGAGAUUAAUACCGCAUAACACUGCGGUUUCGCAUGAAACUGCAGUUAAAGGAGCAAUCCGCUAUGAGAUGGACCCGCGGCGCAUUAGCUAGUUGGUGAGGUAAAGGCUCACCAAGGCCACGAUGCGUAGCCGACCUGAGAGGGUGAUCGGCCACAUUGGAACUGAGACACGGUCCAGACUCCUACGGGAGGCAGCAGUGGGGAAUAUUGCACAAUGGGCGAAAGCCUGAUGCAGCAACGCCGCGUGGAGGAUGAAUGCCUUCGGGUUGUAACUCUUGUCUUCUGGGACGAUAAUGACGGUACCAGAGGAGGAAGCCACGGCUACUAUUGUGCCAGCAGCGCGGUAUACGUAGGUGGCGAGCGUUGUCCGGAUUUACCUGGGCGUAAGGAUGCGUAGCGGAUAUUAAUGGGAUGUGAAAUACCU
RNAcentral lists this ribosomal RNA (437 nucleotides) under uncultured prokaryote. RNAcentral's name for it is "bacterial SSU rRNA". It matches the Rfam family "Bacterial small subunit ribosomal RNA", at positions 145 to 604 of the family's 1533-position model. The record is from RNAcentral.